GACGAACGCUGGCGGCGUGCUUAACACAUGCAAGUCGAACGGAAAGGCCCUGCUUUUGUGGGGUGCUCGAGUGGCGAACGGGUGAGUAACACGUGAGUAACCUGCCCUUGACUUUGGGAUAACUUCAGGAAACUGGGGCUAAUACCGGAUAGGAGCUCCUGCUGCAUGGUGGGGGUUGGAAAGUUUCGGCGGUUGGGGAUGGACUCGCGGCUUAUCGGCUUGUUGGUGGGGUAGGGGCUUACCAAGGCUUUGACGGGUAGCCGGCCUGAGAGGGUGACCGGCCACAUUGGGACUGAGAUACGGACCAGACUCCAACGGGAGGCAGCAGUGGAGAAUAUUGCACAAUGGGCGGAAGCCUGAUGCAGCAACGCCGCGUGCGGGAUGACGGCCUUCGGGUUGUAAACCGCUUUCGCCUGUGACGAAGCGUGAGUGACGGUAAUGGGUAAAGAAGCACCGGCUAACUACGUG
This 468-nucleotide ribosomal RNA is filed under the name uncultured bacterium. RNAcentral's name for it is "partial 16S ribosomal RNA". It matches the Rfam family "Bacterial small subunit ribosomal RNA", at positions 28 to 507 of the family's 1533-position model. The record is from RNAcentral.